Molecule: ribosomal RNA, 519 nt
Filed under: uncultured bacterium
Lineage: Bacteria
Description: bacterial SSU rRNA
Rfam family: Bacterial small subunit ribosomal RNA
Source: RNAcentral
GACGGGGAAGCCGCACAAACGGUGGAGCAUGUGGGUUUAAUUCGAAGCAUCGCGAAGAACCUUGACCAGGUCUUGAGAUCCGGAUGAAGGGCGGAGUAAAGCCGCCGGCUCUUCGGAGCAUCCGAGACAGGUGGUGCAUGGUUGUCGUCAGCUCGUGUCGUGAGAUGUUUGGGUCAAGUCCCGCAACGAGCGCAACCCUUGCGGCCAGUAGCCAGCGAGUAAAGUCGGGCACUCUGGCAGGACUGCCGGGGACAACCCGGAGGAAGGUGAAAAUGACGUCAAAUCAUCAUGCCCCUUAUGACCUGGGCUACACACGUGCUACAAUGGCGCACACAGAGGGAAGCGAACCUGAGAAGGGGAGCAAAUCCCCAAAAAGGCGUCCCAGUUCGGACUGCGGUCUGCAACCCGACCGCACGAAGCUGGAAUCGCUAGUAAUCGCAGAUCAGAAUGCUGCGGUGAAUACGUUCCCGGGUGGUGUACACACCGCCCGUCACACCAUGGGAGUCAGAAAUGCCCGAA